Molecule: ribosomal RNA, 423 nt
Filed under: uncultured bacterium
Lineage: Bacteria
Description: bacterial SSU rRNA
Rfam family: Bacterial small subunit ribosomal RNA
Source: RNAcentral
GGAAUCUUGCGCAAUGGGCGAAAGCCUGACGCAGCAACGCCGCGUGAGUGAUGAAGGUUCUUGGAUCGUAAAGCUCUUUCGCGUGGGAAGAAACGCCCGGUGGCCAAUACCCAUCGGGUUUGACGGUACCACGAGAAGAAAGCCCCGGCUAACUACGUGCCAGCAGCCGCGGUAAUACGUAGGGGGCAAGCGUUGUCCGGAAUUAUUGGGCGUAAAGCGCGCGCAGGCGGUUUCUUAAGUCUUGUGUUUAAGCCCGGGGCUCAACCUCGGUUCGCAUGGGAAACUGGGAAACUGGAGUGCAGGAGAGGAAAGUGGAAUUCCACGUGUAGCGGUGAAAUGCGUAGAGAUGUGGAGGAACACCAGUGGCGAAGGCGACUUUCUGGCCUGUAACUGACGCUGAGGCGCGAAAGCGUGGGGAGCAAA